AGAGUUUGAUCAUGGCUCAGAGCGAACGCUGGCGGCAGGCUUAACACAUGCAAGUCGAGCGGGCGCAGCAAUGCGUCAGCGGCAGACGGGAGAGUAACACGUGGGAACGCGCCCUUCGGUUCGGAAUAACUCAGGGAAACUUGAGCUAAUACCGGAUACGCCCUAACGGGGAAAGAUUUAUUGCCGAAGGAACGGCCCGCGUCUGAUUAGCUAGUUGGUGAGGUAAUGGCUCACCAAGGCGACGAUCAGUAGCUGGUCUGAGAGGAUGGCCAGCCUCACUGGGACUGAGACACGGCCCAGACUCCUACGGGAGGCAGCAGUGGGGAAUAUUGGACAAUGGGCGCAAGCCUGAUCCAGCCAUGCCGCGUGGAUGAUGAAGGCCCUAGGGUUGUAAAGUCCUUUUAACGGGGAAGAUAAUGACGGUACCCGUAGAAUAAGCCCCGGCUAACUUCGUGCCAGCCGCCGCGGUAAUAC
This 474-nucleotide ribosomal RNA is filed under the name uncultured bacterium. Its description in RNAcentral is "bacterial SSU rRNA". It matches the Rfam family "Bacterial small subunit ribosomal RNA", at positions 8 to 526 of the family's 1533-position model. The record is from RNAcentral.